This 433-nucleotide ribosomal RNA is filed under the name uncultured bacterium. RNAcentral describes it as "partial 16S ribosomal RNA". It matches the Rfam family "Bacterial small subunit ribosomal RNA", at positions 27 to 507 of the family's 1533-position model. The record is from RNAcentral.
GAACGAACGCUGGCGGCAUGCCUAACACAUGCAAGUCGAACGAGACCUUCGGGUCUAGUGGCGCACGGGUGCGUAACGCGUGGGAACCUGCCCUUAGGUUCGGAAUAACUCCCCGAAAGGGGUGCUAAUACCGGAUAAUGUCUUCGGACCAAAGAUUUAUCGCCUUUGGAUGGGCCCGCGUUGGAUUAGCUAGUUGGUAGGGUAAAAGCCUACCAAGGCGACGAUCCAUAGCUGGUCUGAGAGGAUGAUCAGCCACACUGGGACUGAGACACGGCCCAGACUCCUACGGGAGGCAGCAGUGGGGAAUAUUGGACAAUGGGCGAAAGCCUGAUCCAGCAAUGCCGCGUGAGUGAUGAAGGCCUUAGGGUUGUAAAGCUCUUUUACCCGGGAUGAUAAUGACAGUACCGGGGAAUAAGCUCCGGCUAACUCCGUG